RNAcentral lists this ribosomal RNA (4295 nucleotides) under bacterium. RNAcentral's name for it is "23S ribosomal RNA". It matches the Rfam family "Bacterial large subunit ribosomal RNA". The record is from RNAcentral.
GAGGGUGCAAAUAAGGGCGUAUGGUGGAUGCCUAGACACAAAAUGGCGAUGAAGGACGCGGCGUAGCUGCGAUAAGCCUCGGGUAGGUGUGUAGCAACCUUUGAUCCGGGGAUUUCCGAAUGGGGCAACCUAAUUGAGUAAACCUCAAUUGUUCCGAUUCAAGAGAUCGGAGAGCGUAUCCGCUGAAGUGAAACAUCUCAGUAAGCGGAAGAACAAAGAAUAAAAAUUUAUUCCCCAAGUAGCGGCGAGCGAAAAGGGAACAGCCUAAACUUAAGUUUCAAGUUAUUAGAAACUGGAUGUCAGAAUUUCGCGAAAGCGGAGUUACUAGUUCAGACCUUUUAGUAGUUUGUAUUUGAGGGUCGUAGGAUAGAAACAUUUUAACUUUGAAAUUGCAGUACCGAUGGUGGUAAGGCAAUUUCACGGUUAAAGGAAAGUUACAAAAUUGAAAACCCCUAUUUCACAAAUAUCACCAAUUUGACGGUGAAAAUUUUGAGAUAAGUUCGCGACGUGAUGAGCGAAGUGUAUCAAGAGAUACACGAGUGAAGAACAACAAAGAAAUUAGCCAAAAUUUGCCCGCCCGCAAGGGAAGCAAAAUAAUGGCCAAUUUCAUCGUUGCUCCUCCUCAAUGUGCCAAAGGCACAAUUUCGUCGUCGCGCCUUGAAUUUGUCACAUUAUUUUACUUUCAAAUUUGGCGAGAUUUGUGAAAUAGGGGUUCGGUUAGUUGAAGCAACUGGAAAGUUGCGCCAGAGUGAGUGAUAGCCUCGUAAACAAAAACCGACAAUCUUUCUUGUUUUUAGUGGUAACCAAUCCACAGAUAGCUUUAUGGUUAUCUAUCCUGAGUACUGCGAGGCCAUAAAACCUAGCAGGAAGUUACCAGUACUAUCUGGUGAGGCUAAAUACAUUUUGUGAUCGAUAGUGAACAAGUACCGUGGGGGAAAGGUGAAAAGUAGCCCGGAAGGGCGUUGAAAUAAUACCUGAAACCAUAUGCUUACAAGGACUCGAAGCCCGUAAGGGUGACGAGGUGCCUAUUGAAGAAUGAGCCAACGACUUUACACACGCGGCUCGGCUAAGUUGCCUCUGGCAAUGGAGUCACAGGGAAACCGAGUGUUAAUAGCGCGCUGCUCGCAAGAGCAAGUCGUUUGUGUAAGACCCGAAACCAAGCGAGCUUGUCCUGGCCAGGAUGAACUCCGAGUAAAAUCGGAGGGAGGUCCGAACUAGUUGGUUGUGCAAAACCUUUGGAUGAGCUGGGAUAAGGAGUGAAAAGCUAAACGAGCUUGGUAAUAGCUGGUUCUCUCCGAAAUAGUUUUCGGACUAGCGGACAAAAAAACUGCUGUGGGGGUAGAGCUACUGGUUCGGAAGUAAAGGGGGAAACUCCGACUUCCGAGUCAAACUCCGAAUACCAUAGUAGAUCAGUUGUCUAGUUAGACUGCGGAGGCUAAGCCCCGUGGUCGCGAGGGAAAAAGCCCAGAUCGUCGUCUAAGGCCCCUAAAUUCUUACUAAGUGUUAAAGGUAGUAGUAAUCCAUUGACAGAUAGGAGGUUGGCUUAGAGGUAGCCAUCCUUUAAAGAGUGUGUAACAACUCACUAUUCGACGGGUUAUUGCGCCGAAAAUGUACCGGGGCUAAGUAAGAUGCCGAAGACACGAAUGCCGUGCAUAGCACAGAAAUUCCAAAUUACAAAUUACAAAUCACAAACAAAUUCCAAAUCUAAAAUUUCAAAAUUCCAAACACGUUUUGGUCAUUUGAAUUUUGGUCAUUGGCGCUUGUUUGUAAUUUGGUGCUUGGGAUUUGGUGCUUCCGCGCUGUGCGCGGCGUGGUAGGAGAGCAUUCCCAUCUGCUGUGAAGCCGUACUCGAGAGAGGCGGUGGAGCGUUGGGAAGAGAGAAUGUUGGUAUGAGUAACCCAAAAAUCGGGUGCGAAACCCGAUCCCCGCAAAUCCAAGGUUUCCGUGGCAAUGGCAAUCAUCCACGGGUUAGGCGAUCCUAAGGCAAUGGUGAAAACCGCAGCUAAUGGGUAGCCGGUUAAUAUUCCGGCCCGUCUGAUAUAUUCGAUGGAGAGACGAAGGAAAAAAGAUUUAGCGCCUUAAUGGUUUGGCGUCGCAAGCGUUAAGGACUGUUCGACUAGCAAAUCUGUUGAACUGCUUUUAAUAGCAAAGUCCACGCGCCGGCGUAAGGCAAAGUUUUUACUUUGCUAAUUAGAUUGAAGAGCCUUCCGAGAAAAUCUUCUAAGAUUAGUAUGUCAGGCAUCGUACCGUAAACCGACACAGGUGGAUGAGGCGAGUAGCCUAAGGGGAACGAGUGAAUCUUCGUUAAGGAACUCGGCAAAAAAGCGGCCGUAAGUUAGCGAUAAGGCCUGCCUUUCGCAAGAAAGGUUGCAACAAAAGUCUCACUGGCGACUGUUUAACAAAAACACAGCUCCCUGCGAACUCGUAAGAGGAUGUAUAGGGGGUGACACCUGACCGAUGCGAGAAGGUUAACGGUGGCGGUCAUAUGUUUUAAUAUGUGUGGCUGACUGCCCGAAGCCCUCGUCAAUGUCAGCGGUAACUAUAACCGUUCUAAGGUAGCGCAAUUCCUUUUCAGGUAAGUUCUGAAGCGCACGAAAGGUGUAACGAUUGGUGAACUGUCUCAACGAAGAGCUCGGUGAAAAUGCGAUUCCCGUGAAGACGCGGGAUACCUGCAGCAAGACGAAAAGACCCCAGGAGCUUUACUGUAGCUUGGUAUUGGUUUUAGAGUUCGGAUGCGUAGCGUAGUGGUUAGAGGUUGAAUCCUCGCUUUCGGGCGAGGUGGACUCGACAAUGAAACAUCCAUCUUUCGGACUUUAAAUUCUAACCUCGCCGGCAAAAACGGCGGGAGACAGUGCCUGGUGGGCAGUUUAAAUGGGGCAUUUUCCUCCUAAAGAGUAAUGGAGGAGUUUAUUAAGGUCGGCUUAGCCCGGAUGGAAAUCGGGCUGAACGCGUAAAGGCAAAAGCCGGCUUAACUGCGAGACCUACAAGUCGAGCAGAUGCGAAAGCAGAACUUAGUGACCCGACAGUUAUGUCCUGUACUUCACAAAUAACAUCAAUUUGACGGAGCGAAUUUUGAGACAGAUUCGCGACGCGAGAAGGAAACUGUGGCUGAUGCCACGUUGACGACGAGCAACAAAGAAGCUGGCCAAAAUUCGCCCGCUUCGCAGAAGAAGCUUAAAAAUGAGCGAUCUCUGUGUUGCUCCUCCUUAAUGUAGCUAAAGCCACAAUUUCGUCGUCGCGCCUUGAGUUCAUCUCAUUUUUAAACUUUCAAAUUUUGAUGGUAUUUGUGAAGUACAGGACUCUUUAUAGAAAGGCUGGAGACAUCGGCCAAAAGUUACCCUGGGGAUAACAGGCUGGUGUUGCCCGAGAGUCCAUAUCGACGGCAACGCUCGGCACCUCGAUGUCGGCUCGCCCUAGCGCCCCGCUGAAGAAGGUGGGAAGCGUAUGGCUGUUCGCCAUUUAAAAGGGCACGCGAGCUGGGUUCAAACCGUCAAAAGUUGAACCAAAAAAAGACAUCAAGCAAGUUAUCAAAACGGCGGCCUUUGGCAGUAAUGCCAAAGAGCGAAACCCUAAAUCAAGCAGAGCUUGGUUCGGGUAAAAAAUCGACUCAUAUCGAUGAAGUCCUAUAAAUUUCGAAACCUGGGUUUUUAGGAUAAUAUCGAGGGAAGUCUAGCCAAUACUUUGUAUUGGAAUGACUAAUGUCUAAUUACUAAUUUCUAAUCAAUGUCUAAUGUCAAAAUGUCCAAUGUCUAAAUUUUUUAGUCAUUUGGUCAUUAAAUUAUUGGGAUUUGAUUAGUCAUUAGAUAUUAGGAAUUAGAAAUUCCACCGCGGAGCGGUGGUUAUGACCCCGUAGAGACUUAAUCUUUAUUUAAAGAUUAGAUUCGCAAUUUGCGGAUAAUACGUCGAUCUCCUUUGCGGUUCGGGAUUUAUCCUGAGCUUGUCGAAGGAUGGUGGUAUAGUCCAAACAAUUAGUAAUAAUUGAAUUUAAUGCGUGAGACAGGUUGGUCUCUAUCUGUUGCAGGCGUGAGUCCGAACAGGACUCGUAAACACUUGAGGGGAGUCGUCCCUAGUACGAGAGGACCGGGAUGAACGAGUCUCUGGCGUACCAGCUUUCAUACCAAUGGAACUGCUGGGUAGCUAUUACUCGGAAGGGAUAAGCGCUGAAAGCAUCUAAGCACGAAACCCACCCCAAGAUUAGGUGUAGGUCCGUAGAAGAUUACUACGUUGAUAGGUCAUAGGUGUAAGGCCCGUAAGGGUUUUAGCCAAGUGAUACUAAUAGACCGCGCUGACCUCUU